This 72-nucleotide transfer RNA is filed under the name Heterocephalus glaber (naked mole-rat). It matches the Rfam family "tRNA". Rfam says of the family: Transfer RNA (tRNA) molecules are approximately 80 nucleotides in length. Their secondary structure includes four short double-helical elements and three loops (D, anti-codon, and T loops). Further hydrogen bonds mediate the characteristic L-shaped molecular structure. tRNAs have two regions of fundamental functional importance: the anti-codon, which is responsible for specific mRNA codon recognition, and the 3' end, to which the tRNAs corresponding amino acid is attached (by aminoacyl-tRNA synthetases). tRNAs cope with the degeneracy of the genetic code in two manners: having more than one tRNA (with a specific anti-codon) for a particular amino acid; and 'wobble' base-pairing, i.e. permitting non-standard base-pairing at the 3rd anti-codon position. The record is from Rfam by way of RNAcentral. Lineage: Eukaryota; Metazoa; Chordata; Mammalia; Rodentia; Bathyergidae.
GGGGAUAUAGUUCAGUGGUAGAGUGCUUGCUUGGCAUGCACAAGGCCCUGGGUUUGAUUGCUAGUACCACCA